Molecule: transfer RNA, 87 nt
Filed under: Candidatus Rokuibacteriota bacterium
Lineage: Bacteria; Candidatus Rokuibacteriota
Description: Candidatus Rokubacteria bacterium tRNA-Leu
Rfam family: tRNA
About the family: Transfer RNA (tRNA) molecules are approximately 80 nucleotides in length. Their secondary structure includes four short double-helical elements and three loops (D, anti-codon, and T loops).
Source: RNAcentral
GCCGGCGUGUCGAAAUUGGCAAACGAUUCCGGCUCAAAACCGGAUGCCCGUAAGGGCUUGUGGGUUCGAGUCCCACCGCCGGCACCA